GAUCUUGCUAUGGGGUAUAAGUUACCCUUGAACACACAAUUCUCCUGCCUCUGCCUCCUCAGUGCUGGGAUCACAGGCAUGCACAGUCAUGCUUGGUAGUUCUUAUUUUUUGAACAGUGAUGUCUUAAAUGUAUUCCCAUAGAUGAAUCCCUGGAAUUUGUGAAUAUCACACUCAUAUGCACCUAAUUAAAUAUCCUUAAAAACAUAAGGCUUCCUAUGACUGGUUUCAGAAGAAGUCUGAGAGAUUAUAUGUAUGAAGAGAACUCGACCUAAUGUUGCUAGCUUAAAGAUGGGAAUGGCAGCAUGGGAAACAACACAAGUGACCUUCAGGAGUGAAGAGCUGACAGCCAGCCAAUGAUCAGGAACCUUCAUCUUAUAAGUGCAUGAAACUGAAUUCUGCCAAGAGCUUGUAUAAGCUUAGAAAGAAAUUUUCCCAUUCUCUGCUGGACUCCAGUAGAGUCCAGCCCUAACAUGACCUUAAUUUUGAUCUUAUAAAGCAAGGAACUCAGUUGAGUCAUAUCAAACAUCUGACCUAAUGAACUUUAAGUUAAAUAAUUUGUUGCCUUCAGCUAGUACAUUUGUGGUAAUUUCUUCUAUUUGUUUUUGGUAUAAUGAGUCUUCCACAAGAUUAAUGCUAGCUACCUAAAGUAAUGGAUACCUUUGUCUUAAAACAUGAAAAAUUUUAUAGUUGUCUUCUGUCUUUACAAACUCAGAAUCCUUUCUUUAAAUUAUCCUCAUAUACUAUUGCCUUUAAAAUUUU
Long non-coding RNA from Perognathus longimembris pacificus (Pacific pocket mouse), 760 nucleotides. RefSeq lists it as uncharacterized. Lineage: Eukaryota; Metazoa; Chordata; Mammalia; Rodentia; Heteromyidae. The transcript has 3 exons. The record is from RefSeq and is a predicted model, not a curated record.